RNAcentral lists this transfer RNA (86 nucleotides) under Chloroflexota bacterium. Its description in RNAcentral is "Chloroflexi bacterium tRNA-Leu". It matches the Rfam family "tRNA". From Rfam's summary of the family: Transfer RNA (tRNA) molecules are approximately 80 nucleotides in length. The record is from RNAcentral. Lineage: Bacteria; Bacillati; Chloroflexota.
GCUGGGGUGGCGGAAUUUGGCAGACGCAGCGGACUUAAAAUCCGUGGCCGAAAGGCGUGAGGGUUCGAAUCCCUCCCCCGGUACCA